UCACCAAGCAAUAAGUUACUCGAGGGUGCGGCUCUCCUGUCACUUUAAAGAAAUCACGCUUACCCAUUUGAUCUCGCGAGAGUUUACAAUCUGCGCCUGCUUUUGGGUGGAAGAUGGCGGAAGCAAAUACAACGUUAACAGAUGCGAGGACAUGUCGGGAGGGAGGCUGUGCGUAAAUGAGGAUUCUGAUUAGAUGGGUGUUAUUCAUAUGCAUCUGACUAGAUGUCAUGACUUAAUGUACUGUAGUAUUAAUUUCAACUAGCUGUGGUUUAGCUACUUUCAAGAACUGUUAUUUUUUGCUUAAUGACUGGUCUGCGCACCGCCAUUUUUAAUUUCUCGUCUUUGACGAGAAGAGGUAGCCUGUGUUAGCUUGUACUGUACGCCAACGUGCCAGCUUCCUCAUGCACGUAAGUGGCACUAUCGGCUGGAAUUGUAGCAGGUGAACUUCCUGCUCGUCUGACAAUUUCAUCACCAAACGACAUCGGCGGAGGAGGUCUUGGCCAGCAAUGGCCAUCUUGCCACCGUAUCAACAUGACGCAUGCAGAAGCAUCCUCGACCAUUGGAGGUGUGGUGACACUGAAGAACACAAGAAGGAGGUCACCCAUGCUUCACUUGAACUGCAUUGGGCAGUCUUUUGAAACCCAAUAUUAAAGUGCCUCAUCUUAAUUUAUGUGUGUCUGAGUGUUCCCUUUGUGGCUCUGCUGUGGUGAGGUAGUAAGUUGUGUUGUUGGGGAUUUGUUUUGACUUGCCCCCCUUGCUGGAGAUAACUAUACAGCUUACUGCCUUCCAUAAGAGAGCAACUAUGCCUCAAGAAUUUGACAUUGACAUUCAUUUGUUUUCCUCUUGGGGUCUUUUUCUGUUUUCAAGGUGUUUCUGUAAACAUAGAAUAGCUUUCAUAACUUGAUGCAAUAUAAAACAUCUUUGUAACGAAUCAUUCUUUGUUAAUAAAUGAAUCACUAAAUA
This is a long non-coding RNA of Engraulis encrasicolus (European anchovy), 963 nucleotides long. RefSeq lists it as uncharacterized. The transcript has 3 exons. The record is from RefSeq and is a predicted model, not a curated record. Lineage: Eukaryota; Metazoa; Chordata; Actinopteri; Clupeiformes; Engraulidae.